CGGGAACAUGCCUGUGCCCAAAUCUCCCCUUCCGACCUGUUCCUUCUGCUCUCCACUCCCAUAGGCUCCGUCUUUCCACCUCAUUAAGACGGCUGUGGGGAGGGAGGUGGGACACACCCACUGCCUCCCCUUUCCUUCUGCACCUGGCUGGUGGACAGAUCUGCAGUCCAGACCCCUCAGAUCCAAUCCCACGGCUCACUUCUCUCUCCAGGUACCUCCCCCCGCCCCAACUCUAAUGUGUUGGGAGUGUGUACUGAUGUGUGUCUCAUUAACAAACCUUCAGUGUUACACGUACGUUUGUGUCUUGGAUGGUCAGAGGUGAGACUAUGCCCAAUCUUGAAUGCGCCACAUUUAGGCUUUCCAUUCCUCUAGGAUUAAACUCUCACAUUGCUUCUAGUUGCCCACCCUACAGACAACCCACGAUGUGGACCCUCCUACCAGUCCCUCCAGGACUGUGUGUGAGGAUCUGGGAGGUGCAUGCCCCACAGUGGAGGGAGUGACCAAAGGGCACCCAGGAAGGAAGAGAUAGUGCCUAGAAGAGAAACCCAAAUACUUGAGAAGAAGGGAAGAUGCUUAAACUUCUCAGUGACCUGAAAAGCCCAAAUUAACAUAACGAGAUGCCCCGUUAUACCCAUUCGAUUGCAGAAUUAGGAAGUCAAAAGUUUUGCUGUCGUUUUUUAAGUAAUCUCUACCCGCAAUGUCUCAAACUCAAGACCCUGAGAUUAAGAGUUACAUGCUCCACACGGACAGAGCCUGCCAGGUGCCCUACAAGUUUUUGUUUUUAAAUGUGGAUAUCCAAUUGUCCCAACACCAUUUGCUGAAAAGACUAUUUCUCAAAUGAGCCACCUUUGAACCUUUGUUCAAAAUCUGUUGUCCGUAUAUGUGUGGGUAUAUCUGUGGACACUUUUGUAUCCUGAUUUAUUCAUCUGUCUUUACACCAUGCUGUCUUGAUUAUUAUAGUUUGAUGAUUCAUCUUGCAAUCAGGUAGUGUUUGUCCUCUGACUUUGUUCUUUUGCAAAGGUAUUUGGCUAUUUUACACCCUUUGCAUUUCCAUAUGCAUUUUAGAAUCAUUUGUCAAUUUCUAGGAAAAAAAAUGUGUGGGCAUAGAGUUGUUCGCAGUGUUCCUUUAUUAUUGGUUUUAAUGUCCGUGGGAUCUGCAGUGAUAACCUGUUAUUAGUAAUUUGUAUCCUCUCUUUUAUUUUUUUUUUAAAUUGAGCUAUAAUUGACAUAUAUUAGUUCCAAGUGUCCAAUAUAAUGGCUUGAUGCUUAUAUAUAUUAUUCUUUUUUUCUUAGUUAACCUGGCUUGCGACUCAUCAAUUCUAUUGAUCCUUUUGAAGAAUUAGCUUUGGUUUCAUUGAUUUUUUUCUAUCGAUUUCAUGUCUUCAACUUCACUCAUUCCUACUCUAAUUUUUUUAAGUUUAUUUUCAUUUAUUUUGAGAGAGAGGGGAGGGACAGAGAAAGAGGGAGGGAAUGAAUCCCAAGCAGGUUCCACACUGUCAGCACAGAGCCCAAUGUGGGGCUUGAACUCAUGAACCCUGAGAUCAUGACCUGAGCCGAAAUCAAGAGCCGCACUUAACCAACUGAGCCACCCAGGUGCCCCUCUGCUCUAAUUUGUAUUAUUUAUUUUCUUCUGCUUAUGUUGCAUUUAAUUUGCUCUUCUUUUUCCAGUUUCCUAAGGUAGAAUUUAGAUUAUUGGUUAUAGAUAUUUCUUAUUUUCUGAUAUAUGCAUUAGAUGCUAUAAACCUCCCUCUAAGCAUUGCUUUCUCUGCAUCCCACAAAUUUUGAUAAGUUGGGUUUCAUUUUCAUUUAGUUCAAAAUAUUUUAAAAUUUCUCUUGCCAUUUCUUCUUUGACUCAUGUUAUUUACGAGAGUGCUAUUUAAUCUUCCAAGUAUUUGUGGGGACUUUCCAGGCUUCUUUCUUUACUGAUUUCUAAUUUAAUUCCAUUGUGGUCAGAGAGCAGAUGGUGUACGAUUUCUAUUCUUUCAAAUUUGUUAAGGGGAGUGUUCUGGCCCAGAACGUGAACCGUCUCGGAGCGUUCCACGCGAGCUUACGGAGAAUGUGUGUGCUGCCACUGUUGAGUGAAGUGGCCUACAGUCCACUAGAGACUGGAUUCAGGACUAUGAUGGACGGCCUUAACCGUGUCCUUCGUGAUUCUCUGCCCCCUGCCAGCGGGGUGUUGAAAUGUCCCACCGCAGUAGCGGAUUCAUCUGUUUCUCUCUUGUCGUUGCCUUGACAUCUGUUUUAUCUGAUAUCAACAGAGUGAUGCCAGUCUUAUUUUUAAUCAGCGUUUACAUAAUAUGCCUUUCAUCCAUUAUUUUAUUUUUAGCCUUUCUGUGUGUCCUUAUGAUGUACUUGUGUCUCAUAUAAACAGCAUAUAGCUGUGUUGCGUUCGCUUUUUUAUUCAAAAAAUAAAAUCUUUGUUAACUGGGAUAUUCUGUCCAUUAUCG
Molecule: long non-coding RNA, 2447 nt
Filed under: Lynx pardinus (Iberian lynx)
Lineage: Eukaryota; Metazoa; Chordata; Mammalia; Carnivora; Felidae
Source: RNAcentral